GGCCGAAAGGCGUAGUCGAUGGAUAGCAGGUUAAUAUUCCUGCCCUCUCAUGUGCGGUUGAUCCGGCGUGACGGAUCGUGAAGUUCUGUGGGACAGUGAAGCGUCCAGGCCGUAUGGCCGUUGCAGGGUGGAACGGUUCCAAGAAAAGCCGUCCGGUGACAAUCAUGAGACCCGUACUAAAACUGACACAGGUAGGUGUGGCGAAAAGCCUCAGGCGCUCGAGAAAACGGUUGGGAAGGAACUAGGCAAAUUGACCCCGUACGUUCGCAAGAAGGGGGCCCUUCGGGGCGCAGAGA
This 296-nucleotide ribosomal RNA is filed under the name Symbiodinium sp. clade A. Its description in RNAcentral is "partial Bacterial large subunit ribosomal RNA". It matches the Rfam family "Bacterial large subunit ribosomal RNA", at positions 1400 to 1785 of the family's 2925-position model. The record is from RNAcentral. Lineage: Eukaryota; Dinophyceae; Suessiales; Symbiodiniaceae.